AAAUAAAAUAGCAUGUGCCUUCAUAUAAGCCCGAUAAUACGGUUCGGGUGUUUCUACUAAGUUACCUUAAACAACUUAUCUAUGAUGGCAGAUAAACUGAAC
RNAcentral lists this non-coding RNA (102 nucleotides) under Caryophanon tenue. RNAcentral describes it as "Guanine sequence". It matches the Rfam family "Purine riboswitch aptamer". From Rfam's summary of the family: Riboswitches are metabolite binding domains within certain messenger RNAs that serve as precision sensors for their corresponding targets. Allosteric rearrangement of mRNA structure is mediated by ligand binding, and this results in modulation of gene expression. Lineage: Bacteria; Bacillati; Bacillota; Bacilli; Caryophanales; Caryophanaceae. The record is from Rfam by way of RNAcentral.